This 449-nucleotide ribosomal RNA is filed under the name uncultured bacterium. RNAcentral's name for it is "SSU rRNA". It matches the Rfam family "Bacterial small subunit ribosomal RNA", at positions 26 to 518 of the family's 1533-position model. The record is from RNAcentral.
AGAACGAACGCUGGCGGCAGGCCUAACACAUGCAAGUCGAACGGAUGUAGCAAUACAUUAGUGGCGCACGGGAGAGUAACGCGUGGGAACCUUCCUUUUGGUUCGGAAUAACAUCGGGAAACUGGUGCUAAUACCGGAUAAGCCUUUCGAGGGAAAGAUUUAUCGCCGAAAGAUGGGCCCGCGUUGGAUUAGCUAGUUGGUGAGGUAAUGGCUCACCAAGGCACCGAUCCAUAGCUGGUCUGAGAGGAUGAUCAGCCUCACUGGGACUGAGACACGGCCCAGACUCCUACGGGAGGCAGCAGUGGGGAAUAUUGGACAAUGGGGGGCAACCCUGAUCCAGCCAUGCCGCGUGAACGAUGAAGGCCUUCGGGUUGUAAAGUUCUUUUGACGGGGACGAUGAUGACGGUACCCGUAGAAUAAGCACCGGCUAACUUCGCGCCAGCAGCCGC